Molecule: ribosomal RNA, 900 nt
Filed under: uncultured bacterium
Lineage: Bacteria
Description: bacterial SSU rRNA
Rfam family: Bacterial small subunit ribosomal RNA
Source: RNAcentral
AGAGUUUGAUCCUGGCUCAGGAUGAACGCUAGCUACAGGCUUAACACAUGCAAGUCGAGGGGAAACGACAUCGAAAGCUUGCUUUUGAUGGGCGUCGACCGGCGCACGGGUGAGUAACGCGUAUCCAACCUGCCCAUCACUUGGGGAUAACCUUGCGAAAGUAAGACUAAUACCCAAUGACGUCUCUAGAAGACAUCUGAAAGGGAUUAAAGAUUUAUCGGUGAUGGAUGGGGAUGCGUCUGAUUAGCUUGUUGGCGGGGUAACGGCCCACCAAGGCUACGAUCAGUAGGGGUUCUGAGAGGAAGGUCCCCCACAUUGGAACUGAGACACGGUCCAAACUCCUACGGGAGGCAGCAGUGAGGAAUAUUGGUCAAUGGACGAGAGUCUGAACCAGCCAAGUAGCGUGCAGGAUGACGGCCCUAUGGGUUGUAAACUGCUUUUAUAAGGGAAUAAAGUUAGUCUCGUGAGACUUUUUGCAUGUACCUUAUGAAUAAGGACCGGCUAAUUCCGUGCCAGCAGCCGCGGUAAUACGGAAGGUCCGGGCGUUAUCCGGAUUUAUUGGGUUUAAAGGGAGCGUAGGCCGGAGAUUAAGCGUGUUGUGAAAUGUAGAUGCUCAACAUCUGCACUGCAGCGCGAACUGGUUUCCUUGAGUACGCACAAAGUGGGCGGAAUUCGUGGUGUAGCGGUGAAAUGCUUAGAUAUCACGAAGAACUCCGAUUGCGAAGGCAGCUCACUGGAGCGCAACUGACGCUGAAGCUCGAAAGUGCGGGUAUCGAACAGGAUUAGAUACCCUGGUAGUCCGCACGGUAAACGAUGGAUGCCCGCUGUUGGUCUGAAUAGGUCAGCGGCCAAGCGAAAGCAUUAAGCAUCCCACCUGGGGAGUACGCCGGCAACGGUGAA